This 497-nucleotide ribosomal RNA is filed under the name uncultured bacterium. RNAcentral describes it as "partial 16S ribosomal RNA". It matches the Rfam family "Bacterial small subunit ribosomal RNA", at positions 28 to 507 of the family's 1533-position model. The record is from RNAcentral.
GAUGAACGCUGGCGGCGUGCCUAAUACAUGCAAGUCGAGCGAACAGACGAGGAGCUUGCUCCUCUGACGUUAGCGGCGGACGGGUGAGUAACACGUGGAUAACCUACCUAUAAGACUGGGAUAACUUCGGGAAACCGGAGCUAAUACCGGAUAACAUGUUGAACCGCAUGGUUUAACAGUGAAAGACGGUCUUGCUGUCACUUAUAGAUGGAUCCGCGCCGUAUUAGCUAGUUGGUAAGGUAACGGCUUACCAAGGCAACGAUGCGUAGCCGACCUGAGAGGGUGAUCGGCCACACUGGAACUGAGACACGGUCCAGACUCCUACGGGAGGCAGCAGUAGGGAAUCUUCCGCAAUGGGCGAAAGCCUGACGGAGCAACGCCGCGUGAGUGAAGAAGGUCUUCGGAUCGUAAAACUCUGUUAUUAGGGAAGAACAAAUGUGUAAGUAACUAUGCACGUCCUGACGGUACCUAAUCAGAAAGCCACGGCUAACUACGUG